AAGGGACUGCAAAUGAGCGGGAAGUGAAUUUGGAAGAAGGCGAGAAAAGCUGUGUGAAUAGAAGAUAGAGCCCGUACCGCAAACCGACACAGGUAGAUAGGAAGAAGAUUCUAAGGCCAACGGGAGAAGGGUUGUUAAGGAACUCGGCAAGUUGACCCCGUAACUUAGGGAGAAGGGGUGCUCUUUAAGGAGAGCCGCAGGGAAUAGGCCCAAGCGACUGUUUAGCAAAAACACAGCUCUAUGCUAAAUCGAAAGAUGACGUAUAUGGGGUGACACCUGCCCGGUGCCGGAAGGUUAAGAGGAGGAGUGAGAGCUCUGAAUUGAAGCCCCGGUAAACGGCGGCCGUAACAAUAACGGUCCUAAGGUAGCGAAAUUCCUUGUCAGGUAAGUUCUGACCCGCACGAAUGGUGUAACGAUUUGGGCACUGUCUCAACAACCUGCCCGGCGAAAUUGUAGUACCGGUGAAGAUGCCGGUUACCCGCGACUAGACGGAAAGACCCCAUGGAGCUUUACUGCAGCUUAAUAUUGAAUUUCGGUAUUUCAUGUACAGGAUAGGUGGGAGACAGGGAACCAUAGGCGUCAGCUUAUGGGGAGUCGACCUUGGGAUACCACUCUUGAGGUGCUGGAAUUCUAACCUGUGGCUCUGAAUCGAGUCAGGGGACAUUGUUAGGCGGGCAGUUUGACUGGGGCGGUCGCCCCCAAAAAGGUAACGGAGGCGCUCAAAGGUUCGCUCAGCAUGGAUGGAAACCAUGCUUUUGAGUGUAAACGCAAAAGCGAGCCUAACUGCGAGACUGACGGGUCGAGCAGUAACGAAAGUUGGAGUUAGUGAUCCGGCGGUAUGUGAGUGGAAAUGCCGUCGCUCAACGGAUAAAAGCUACCCUGGGGAUAACAGGCUGAUCUCCCCCAAGAGUCCACAUCGACGGGGAGGUUUGGCACCUCGAUGUCGGCUCAUCGCAUCCUGGGGCUGAAUUCGGUCCCAAGGGUUUGGCUGUUCGCCAAUUAAAGCGGUACGCGAGCUGGGUUCAGAACGUCGUGAGACAGUUCGGUCCCUAUCUGUCGUGGGCGUAGGAUAUUUGAAAGGAGCUGUCCCUAGUACGAGAGGACCGGGAUGGACGCACCGCUGGUGCACCAGUUGUCAUGCCAAUGGCACAGCUGGGCAGCUAUGUGCGGAACGGAUAAACGCUGAAGGCAUCUAAGCGUGAAGCCGACCUUAAGAUAAGAUAUCCCUUCGUAAGAGUAAGACCUCUCAUAGACUAUGAGUUUGAUAGGCCUAAGGUGUAAGCACAGUGAUGUGUUCAGCAUGCAGGUACUAAUCGGUCGAGGGCUUUUCCG
RNAcentral lists this ribosomal RNA (1332 nucleotides) under metagenome. RNAcentral describes it as "bacterial LSU rRNA". It matches the Rfam family "Bacterial large subunit ribosomal RNA", at positions 1567 to 2925 of the family's 2925-position model. The record is from RNAcentral.